GACUGACUGGUCCAGGAAAAAGGGUCCCUGGAGACCCUCACGUGGGCAGGAAAACACCCAUCAUUGUCCAGUGUCACAGUUUUCUGAUUCACCCACCCAGCCAAACUCUGGCGUACCCUUUUUUUUACUUCUUCAACUGGAAUUGUUCCUUCUACACACCCUGCAGUUAAUCCUCAGAAGCAUGGACUCGUGGCUGUUGCUAACCCCACUGACACAGUAUGUCCUACGGACACACGGACUCCAUCCCGGCCCCUCCCAGCAGCCAGGAAAAUGCACGAACCCAAAGCCUUAGCAAGCUGCUUUCAACCAAACUUGGAAAAUGUUGCUGGGCUCUUGGGGGAUCUCUCUCUCUCUCUCUCUCUCUCUCUCUCUCUCUCUCUCUCUUUCUCCCUCCAUCUCUUCCUCUCUUUGCAUGUGCAAACUGUGCUGGGUCACCCUUCAACACUUCCCAGAUUGUCAGGAAAACAAAGAGAAAGCUUCGUCAAGCGUGGUGUUUCCUGGUCAGUGGAGGUCUUCCCGAGCGAGCAGAUUUGGGUCCCACUGAAGGAGAUUUAGCGUCUGCCAUGUGAAGACAGUGAACAAUAAAAGUGAGGAGCGAUUGUGAAACCCG
Molecule: long non-coding RNA, 610 nt
Filed under: Rattus norvegicus (Norway rat)
Lineage: Eukaryota; Metazoa; Chordata; Mammalia; Rodentia; Muridae
Description: long non-coding RNA NONRATT023814
Source: RNAcentral